GUUGGAUAAAGUUGUACAAGUUUUUCCUUCGUGAAUCCUGGGGAAGAUUCAUC
This 53-nucleotide ribosomal RNA is filed under the name Phytophthora sp. P51. RNAcentral's name for it is "partial 18S ribosomal RNA". The record is from RNAcentral. Lineage: Eukaryota; Oomycota; Peronosporomycetes; Peronosporales; Peronosporaceae.